CCUAGGGAGGCAGCAGUGGGGAAUAUUGCACAAUGGGCGCAAGCCUGAUGCAGCCAUGCCGCGUGUGUGAAGAAGGCCUUCGGGUUGUAAAGUACUUUCAGCGGGGAGGAAGGUGUUGUGGUUAAUAACCGCAGCAAUUGACGUUACCCGCAGAAGAAGCACCGGCUAACUCCGUGCCAGCAGCCGCGGUAA
This 192-nucleotide ribosomal RNA is filed under the name uncultured bacterium. RNAcentral describes it as "partial 16S ribosomal RNA". It matches the Rfam family "Bacterial small subunit ribosomal RNA", at positions 338 to 523 of the family's 1533-position model. The record is from RNAcentral.